UCAGCGUGAGCGUGGCUGUGUGUGUGUCAGCCAGUCUUCCACAGUGCUGCCGCCCUCCCCCCGCCCCCAGCCUCGCAGUCAUGGCAACAAAGGGGAGUGUCUUGAGAGUGAGCAGCGCCGCGAAGCUGCCAGCCCAGAACAGAGAAGGAGAGAGGAGUCCUCUCACUGUCUGCAGAGUGCCCUAGUUGCUGACAGUCCACACCCCACACACAGCCAUGAAAGAUUGAAGAGCCGGCCCCUAGCCUAACAGAAAGGAGUCUGGACAGGUCAGGACUCAGGACAGCCUGGUGUGUCUUAUAAGGCGGAAUAUAGGUUCCUCAAGCCAGCGAUUGUUUGAGGCAGAGAGAAGAUAGGAGGACCACACAGAGGAGAAGCCAACUGCUGCUGACGGGACCAGGGCCAGGCACAUUACAGGCAUUUGCUCUUCUGCAUUCUUUGAAACCUAUGAAGGAUCUAACUACCACUGAGCAAUAUAGUCCAUUUUCCAACGUCAUUCGUCAUCAACUCCAACCUGAACAGUUCUAAGGACUCUGACCUAAUCAUCGAAAGCAGUACAUGAGUUCUGCACUACAGACUGUUACUGCAGAGAAGGACCUACAGCUAUAGAUGUCACCCUAGGUCAUAAUUCAAGCUUGCUUAGCUUUCCUAUAGGAGACAUCACCAUCUGUAUCACUUCAUUAAUAUUGUGUGAAAUUGGACCUUAUUUCUGAAUUAACAUCUGAUUGUAGCUGUCAAGAGUGAUAUGACUGGUUGUGUUCAGCAUUACAGAUUUUUCAGGGUCAUCGAAUGUAUACCAAGACCUACAUGGCAACAUUCAGCAUAUGUCAUUCAAGUUCCAGGAUUUGGGCUACUUAAGAUUACCAUUUGCUACUACUAUGUAUUGGAAGAAGCUUACACAGUGCCAGCACACACUGAAGACACCUCAAGGUUUGAUCAAACCUUUUAUUAUCUGAAGAAUAUAAACAAAAUGAAGAGACAAGC
Molecule: long non-coding RNA, 981 nt
Organism: Bufo gargarizans (Asiatic toad)
Lineage: Eukaryota; Metazoa; Chordata; Amphibia; Anura; Bufonidae
Exons: 7
Source: RefSeq, a predicted model, not a curated record